Molecule: non-coding RNA, 452 nt
Organism: Mesocricetus auratus (golden hamster)
Lineage: Eukaryota; Metazoa; Chordata; Mammalia; Rodentia; Cricetidae
Source: the annotation of a RefSeq genome assembly
AAUAAAGGGAUGUCUAUACCACUAACAACAUAUGAUCAGUGUCCUCUCCACAGUCACUGAGUGCCCAGGUCCUAACCAUGGCAUGGAGCUGGAUCAUCCUCUUCCUUGUGACAAUAGCUACAGGUGUCCACUCCCAGGUCCAGCUGCAGCAGUCUGGGGCUGAGCUGGUGAAGCCUGGAGCCUCAGUGAAGAUAUCCUGCAAGACUUCAGGCUACACCUUCACUGAUGGUUAUAUGCACUGGGUGAAGCAAAAGCCUGGACAGGGCCUGGAGGGGAUUGGAAGAAUUGAUCCUGAUAGUGGUAAUACUAAGUAUGAAGAGAAGUUCCAGGGUAAGGCCACACUGACUAGAGACAAGUCCUCCAGGACACUCUACAUGGAGCUCAGCAGUCUGACAUCUGAUGACUCUGCGGUCUAUUACUGUGCAAGACACAGUGUUGCAACCACAUCCUGA